AGCGAACGCUGGCGGCAGGCCUAACACAUGCAAGUCGAACGGACCCUUCGGGGUUAGUGGCGGACGGGUGAGUAACACGUGGGAACGUGCCUUUAGGUUCGGAAUAGCUCCUGGAAACGGGUGGUAAUGCCGAAUGUGCCCUUCGGGGGAAAGAUUUAUCGCCUGUGGAGCGGCCCGCGUCUGAUUAGCGUGUUGGUGAGGUAACGGCUCACCAAGGCUUGGAUCAGUAGCUGGUCUGGGAGGAUGACCAGCCACACUGGGAAUGAGAUACGGCCCAGACUGAUAAGGGAGGAAGCAGUGGGGAAGAUUGUAAAAGGGGCGGAAGCCUGAUGCAGAAACGCAGGGUGCGGGAGGACGGAAUUCGGGUUGGAAACAGAUUUAGCCUGGGAAGAAGCGUGAGUGACGGUAAUGGGUAAAGAAGCAACGGCGAACUACGUG
Molecule: ribosomal RNA, 438 nt
Filed under: uncultured bacterium
Lineage: Bacteria
Description: partial 16S ribosomal RNA
Rfam family: Bacterial small subunit ribosomal RNA
Source: RNAcentral